ACCCGUCUCUAGGCCAGCCCGGGGCCGACCCUCCUGCUCGCAGACCCAGCAGUGGCGCCACCCCACGGAGAGGAGGACUACGACUGGGAGACCACGGAAGGGGACGGGCGCUGACCUGCCGGGAGACCCAGGGGAAAGGUGGCUGGAGGAGACGACCGCGGGGAAGGAGCAGGACACAUGACAGAUACUUGAAGUUUCUACAGAAUCAAAGGCCUGACCAGUAAAUUGUGAAAUUGCCUUCUUGGAUGAUGUUUUAGAAAAUGAGGGUGACUCUCAAAUCAUUAGAAAUCUCUUAAAGCCAUACUUGUUGGGACAGGAAGAGUGCUCCGGAGAUACAAUGGUACCUGCAGGAAGCACCUAACUACAAUCAUAAGGAAACACUGAUCAAAUAUUUACUGUGUUCCAAUUACUCUACAAAGCACACGCAACACAUUAUCUCACUUAAUAUCAUAACAAACCUAGAAGGUAGGUUCCAUUAUUUUGCUCAUUUUACAGAGGAAGAAAUUGAGAGUCAGAGGAGUAAAGACACUUUCCCAAGGUCAUAUGGCUCUUAGGUGGGAAGAUUGAGACUCACCUUCCAUGCCCAGCAUGGAGCCCAAUGCAGUGGGGCCUGAACACGUGACCCCAAGAUGAAGACCUGAGUUUGGACCAAGAGUUGGUUGCUCAACCACCUGAGCCACCCAGGGGCCCCUCAGCCAGUAUCUUUUGACUUUAUUAUAAUCAGUUUGCUGUAACGGGUCCCUGACUAGAGGCCAGGGGUGGACUGUGACAUAAUAAGAAAUAUAUAUCUGGUCUCUGCCCCUGGUUCCUGACACAGAGCUCCUCAAUCUCUUGGAAUUUCCUUGGUAAUGGGAAGGGUCUUUUGUUCUAAAGAGUUGGAUUUGUGGGCUCCUAGGAAGCUUCAGGAUGGAAGCUGGUCACCAGAAAGGCCAAGCUAUAAUUAGAAGCUUUUAGCCCCAACCCUGCCAUCCUCCAGGGAGAAGACGGGAUGGAGACUGAGCCAAUAAUCCAUCAUGUCUACUUGAUAAAUCCUCCAUAAAAAUCCCCAAACUAUGGGGCUCGGAAAGCUUCCAGGUUGGUGCAUACAUACAUCUCGGGAGGGUGGACACCACAGCUCCACACGGACAGAAGCUCCUGCACUUGGGACCCUUCUGCCCUUGCCCUAUGUACAUCUUCAUCUGGAUCAUCAUCAUCUAAUGGCUUAAUUUCAAAGCUUGCCAAACGAACUGGAAAUUUUUCCUUUCACCUUAAGGGUACCUGUGGUUUGGUAAAGCAUUCACCAGCCUCUGUCCGGAUGUCUUGAAUUAUGCAAGUUUUGAUCUAAGGGUUCUUUAGAAAUUCAUCCCAUAGGUUAGUUGUGUCCUUUGCAUACCAUGCACCCCAAAUUUAAAAAAAAAAAAAUACACCAGAGAACACUAAAAACCAGGUAACUCCCCAGUCCCCACUUCAACCUGGCUUUAUCAGGAAGUUCCAGGACAGGCACCUGGAAAUCCAUUUCACAAGCACCAAGGUGGUUCUUAUAACCAGGAAAACUGUUACAGAAAAACAAGUUCCUUGCCCUGGAUAAGGUAAUUUUCCUCUGCAGUGUUAAGUAAUCAGAGUAAACCUGC
Molecule: long non-coding RNA, 1610 nt
Organism: Neogale vison (American mink)
Lineage: Eukaryota; Metazoa; Chordata; Mammalia; Carnivora; Mustelidae
Exons: 3
Source: RefSeq, a predicted model, not a curated record